UGUGGUAUGUGUACUAUUGUUUGUCUGUUUGUCCUUUUCAUUUUUAGCCAUGGCGUUAUUAGUUUAUUGUCGAUUUAUGAGUUUGACUGUGACUCUGGAAUCUUUCGUCCCUCUUUCAUUUACCAUUUAUCAACCUCUUCCGUAAGCCAGUUUUACAAAUGUUGUGAAUUGUCAAUCAUAACAUGUAUAUAACUGUAACAGUUGUCCUCUGCUCACUACGGGGAGGUGGA
Molecule: long non-coding RNA, 230 nt
Filed under: Mytilus galloprovincialis (Mediterranean mussel)
Lineage: Eukaryota; Metazoa; Mollusca; Bivalvia; Mytilida; Mytilidae
Source: RNAcentral